GACGGAACAAAUAAGUGCUCGAUUUUAAUGGUUUACAAGGUGUGAAAAUAGGUUUUCCUUUGUAAAAACCAGCAAUUAUGAUUGGUGUUUGAGCAUGUUUUUGUUUUCAUCGCCUUCUCUAGCUUCAUCUGCUUGUCUUAAUACUGCUAAUAUUUUCUUCUCUUUUUUUCCUAAACUCCUUUGCCUUGUCUUUUGAGACGAGAUUUUCUAUAAAUCUUGCUAAAUGAUGGAAAAUUUUUAACGUGAGAGGCUUGGUAGAGGUAUCCUGGCAAAACGAUUUGAGGAAUAUCAUAUUGAUGCUCUCGAGUCAGAGUUUGAAAAGUCCCAACACUAAUGAAAAAGAAGGUUGAACUGGUGACUACUACAGAACUGGAUGUGGAGAAAAUUACUAGCUGGUUCAAAAGGAAUUGAGCCCUAAAGCAUGCUAGGAAGUCAAUAGGGGAUUUGAAGCUAACCAAGGCUCAUUAAGAAUCAGCUAAAAAGUCAGUAAGUUAACAAACCGUUGAUCCUCCUAUUCAACUACUUCGACCAUUUUCGAACACUUCCAUCAGGAUAAAUCUGACCCUUUCCCUGUUCUCGCCUACGCAUAUAGGAUAUUUUUUUUAAGAAGUGAACAUCUUUCUUAGUAACAGGUGGGUCAGGGGAACAGUUUUUCGAAUGGAGUAUUGACCUGGAGAUCUCUAUGUUGUUGCCAUGCUACAUAGACAUUUUUCACAUUGAUCAUUUUGUUGGAAAAUCUAAAAAUUUUUAAUAGAAUGAUAAAAA
This 765-nucleotide long non-coding RNA is filed under the name Olea europaea subsp. europaea. The record is from RNAcentral. Lineage: Eukaryota; Viridiplantae; Streptophyta; Magnoliopsida; Lamiales; Oleaceae.